RNAcentral lists this long non-coding RNA (1509 nucleotides) under Salmo salar (Atlantic salmon). RNAcentral's name for it is "lncRNA (ENSSSAG00000106434.1)". Lineage: Eukaryota; Metazoa; Chordata; Actinopteri; Salmoniformes; Salmonidae. The record is from RNAcentral.
CCAGCUCGCAUGCAAUGGAAUUUAGGAGCCAUCUCCUAUUUCUGGAGAAGUGUGAAUGAGAUCUGUAAGAUGGUUCCAUUAUGUUUAUAAAACAUUAUAGUUGGGAGCAGUAUAACGCACAUAUAUAGGUAGACAAGACAGGCCAUCCCUGAUUGCCAGAGGACCAAUUACCCUGGUUAGAAGCACCUGGACUGUGCUCACCUGUGUUUCCUACAAAGGCUGUUUCUUAAUGCCAAACCAUUGCAACUAGAGGAUGAGGUCGGGAGGAGGAGAGAUGGAGAGAGAACAAUGAGGCGCUCUCAUUUAAAGACUGGUGUUAUUUAUUCUACAUUCUUUAAAAAAGGGGUCCAAAAGGGUUCUUCGUCUAUCUCCAUAAGAGAACCCUUUUUGGUCCAGGUAAAACCCUUUGUCACGUCCUGACCAGUAAAUGUCAGGGAUUUCUUCGUCGUCAGACGAUAUGGCGAAAUCAUCGUCGGAAAAUGAGGACCAAUAUGCAGCAGAGUUGAGAUAGUUCAUUUUUGAACAUUUAAUAAACUCAAAAAACAAACAUACAAAAAUAACAAACCGAACUCACGAUUUACCGACAGUCCUGUUAGGCUCACUCACGCUAAACAAGAAACAAUCUCCCACAAACACACAGACAAACACACCCAACUAAUAUAGGACUUCCAAUCAAAGGCAACACCACACAGCUGCCUUCAAUUGGAAGUCCACCCCAAUUAACUCUACAUAGAAACAGACUACCUAGACUAAACAUAGAAUUACAUAAACAUAGAUCAUAAACCUAAAACCCGGAAAUACUAAAUCAAACGCCCUUUUACCAAAACACCACCCCGAACCACAUAAAACAAAUACCCUCUGCCACGUCCUGACCAAACUACAAUAACAAUUAACCCUUAUACUGGCCAGGACGUGACAGUAAAGGUGGUCAUUUGUCAUUGUAGUAUGGUCAGGGCGUGGCAAGGGGUGUUUGUUUUGUGUGUUUAUAAUUUUUUUGGUUCUAGGGGAUUUUGGUUCUAGUUUUCUAUUUCUUUGUUUCAUUUUCCACGUUUGGCCGAGUAUGGUUUCCAAUCAGAGGCAGGUGUGUUUCAUUGUCUCUGAUUGGAAGCCAUACUUAGGCAGCCUGUUUUCCUUUGGGUUUUGUGGGUGGUUGUUUCCUAUAUAGUCUGAGAACCUUACGGAACUGUUGAUUGUCGGUAUAUUAAUUUUGUUUAAGUGUUCACUUUAUUACGAUAAUAAAAGAAGAUGAGCACUAUACCCGCUGCGCUUUGGUCCCCUUUCAUCAACGCUUGUGGCAGAACCACCCACUAAAAGAAGCCAAGCAGCGGGGUAAGGAGCAGGAGAGGAGGUAUCUCGAGUCAUGGACGUGGGAGGAGAUCCUCGAUGGAAAGGGUCCAUGGAGCCAGGCUGGGGAGUACCAGCACCCGAAGGAGGAGCUGGAGGAAGCGAAGAGGGAACGACGGAGGUACGAGGUGAAGAGGCAGCCCCAAAACAAUGUUUGGGGGGGGG